RNAcentral lists this long non-coding RNA (1642 nucleotides) under Brassica rapa (field mustard). Its description in RNAcentral is "long non-coding RNA (BRAP_LNC003840)". The record is from RNAcentral. Lineage: Eukaryota; Viridiplantae; Streptophyta; Magnoliopsida; Brassicales; Brassicaceae.
UAGCAAGUUGGGACAUAAAACCAUAAGGUAAAAAAAGUAAAAGUAUCUAGCUUUUUAUCAUCAAAAUUACUUGUUACUACGAGAGCUUGGCAUCGUAGAUUUAUAGUUUUAUAGUGUUCUACCUAUUUAUCUAAAAAGUGAUCCUAUCUAGCUUUAAAUAGAAAAUAGGCAAUAUAGCUCUAUUGUUAUGGUGUUUCAAUCGCUUUCUUUUUCUUUUGUUUAUAUUGUGUACAUAUGAUAUUAUUAUAUUAAAUAUUAGUAAUAACUAAUAACUAAGAAAACAAGAAUGCAUGAUUGUAAAAAAACAAAAAUUUACUGCGCCAAAAGCUAAAAUGGAGUAGUUCCCAAGAAAGAAACCCGCUGAACCGUAUAUUCUCUGUUAAAACUUUUUACUCUUACGAUGACCUUUUUGCGUUUUUAAUGUAUUUUUUCUUACUUUCGUGCUGCUUAGACAGACAUGUCACUUAUAUUUAUCAGCUUAAGGUCCAUGUCACCAGAAAAAGGUUUUGUAGAACACAAAUGUAUCAGCUUUUUAGGCAGAACCAAAAACUUUAAAAUCACUAUAAUAUGCACACCCAAAUAGCUUUUAUACUAAUUAAGGGAUUUAUAUAUUAUAUAAAACGACUGAAAAGUUGCUGAAGCUCUUGGUGGAAAAUGCACCCACCAUCAUCAUAUGUGAAUGUUUCAAAACGGAUAGCUUCCAAUAGAAAUAUGUUCUUGUUUUAUCAUAUAUUACUUCUUGCGCGCUCUCCGCUGAAGAUUGUUUCUUUCCGGUUCAAAUAUGAAUCCAUAUGGAUUUUAAAACUAUAUUUGAAAACCAAAUAUUAUUUAUGCGGCCCGGCCGAUAGAAUGUGAACUUAUGUUUAAACCUAAAAAUGAAUUGGAGUUAUGUCAAAUAACUUAUGUAUUCAUCUUCUUGCUAGUUGUCCUAUCUUGUGCCCAUAACUUUUGGUAGGGAGUUUUAUAUCUUACUACCAAUAUUUAGCAACUGAUCAAUAUUUCUUUUAUCUUCAUUCAAAUUGACCAUUUUCACGUGACUAUGUACAAUGAAUACGUUGAAAAAAUUACAAUGAACCGAAACGAUAAUAUUUAAAAAUGGUAAAAGCCACAUGGGUGCAAUGGUUAAAAAUUAGUUUAUACUAAAAUAUUACUUUAUGUGUCGCUGAAAUUUGACUCUUUAAUGUUUAAGAUGUACAAAUUUUGUUAUUGAAUCUGAAAUAUGAACAACUAUAUAACAGGGAAUUGCAUUGAAUAUCUAAAAUAUACUUGUUCCAUUAGUUUUUCAUUCAGCUAAUUUUGUUUACUAAUUAUCAUAUAAAAUCUCACCAAUUUUUUUAAAAUGAAACAGAAAGACAUAUCAUCUGAUGGGUUUAAAAGAGUAAUGAAUACAUUGAGUGGAAGCAACCUAAAAGUAUGGGGAACAGUGGAGGUCAACGGCCAAAAGAACAGCCACGUGUCUGUUGGGGCAAAUAAAAGAUGCUGGCGGCCACAGGGAUAUGAUGAAUGAACUAGAGUAAUAUUGUGACACGUGUCAUUUCCUUUCUCCUCCGUCGAACCACUCAGCAUUCAGCAAUGUGAUUGUUGUGUGUGAGAGUGAGAGGAUGGUUAUCGACUGUAUCCAGUAACAGAGAGCCAAGUCAAC